RNAcentral lists this ribosomal RNA (1430 nucleotides) under bacterium BEL B6. RNAcentral describes it as "bacterial SSU rRNA". It matches the Rfam family "Bacterial small subunit ribosomal RNA". The record is from RNAcentral.
UAUAAUGCAGUCGAGCGAACAGAUAAGGAGCUUGCUCCUUUGACGUUAGCGGCGGACGGGUGAGUAACACGUGGGUAACCUACCUAUAAGACUGGGAUAACUUCGGGAAACCGGAGCUAAUACCGGAUAACAUUUGGAACCGCAUGGUUCUAAAGUGAAAGAUGGUUUUGCUAUCACUUAUAGAUGGACCCGCGCCGUAUUAGCUAGUUGGUAAGGUAACGGCUUACCAAGGCGACGAUACGUAGCCGACCUGAGAGGGUGAUCGGCCACACUGGAACUGAGACACGGUCCAGACUCCUACGGGAGGCAGCAGUAGGGAAUCUUCCGCAAUGGGCGAAAGCCUGACGGAGCAACGCCGCGUGAGUGAUGAAGGGUUUCGGCUCGUAAAACUCUGUUAUUAGGGAAGAACAAACGUGUAAGUAACUGUGCACGUCUUGACGGUACCUAAUCAGAAAGCCACGGCUAACUACGUGCCAGCAGCCGCGGUAAUACGUAGGUGGCAAGCGUUAUCCGGAAUUAUUGGGCGUAAAGCGCGCGUAGGCGGUUUCUUAAGUCUGAUGUGAAAGCCCACGGCUCAACCGUGGAGGGUCAUUGGAAACUGGGAAACUUGAGUGCAGAAGAGGAAAGUGGAAUUCCAUGUGUAGCGGUGAAAUGCGCAGAGAUAUGGAGGAACACCAGUGGCGAAGGCGACUUUCUGGUCUGUAACUGACGCUGAUGUGCGAAAGCGUGGGGAUCAAACAGGAUUAGAUACCCUGGUAGUCCACGCCGUAAACGAUGAGUGCUAAGUGUUAGGGGGUUUCCGCCCCUUAGUGCUGCAGCUAACGCAUUAAGCACUCCGCCUGGGGAGUACGACCGCAAGGUUGAAACUCAAAGGAAUUGACGGGGACCCGCACAAGCGGUGGAGCAUGUGGUUUAAUUCGAAGCAACGCGAAGAACCUUACCAAAUCUUGACAUCCUUUGAAAACUCUAGAGAUAGAGCCUUCCCCUUCGGGGGACAAAGUGACAGGUGGUGCAUGGUUGUCGUCAGCUCGUGUCGUGAGAUGUUGGGUUAAGUCCCGCAACGAGCGCAACCCUUAAGCUUAGUUGCCAUCAUUAAGUUGGGCACUCUAGGUUGACUGCCGGUGACAAACCGGAGGAAGGUGGGGAUGACGUCAAAUCAUCAUGCCCCUUAUGAUUUGGGCUACACACGUGCUACAAUGGACAAUACAAAGGGCAGCUAAACCGCGAGGUCAUGCAAAUCCCAUAAAGUUGUUCUCAGUUCGGAUUGUAGUCUGCAACUCGACUACAUGAAGCUGGAAUCGCUAGUAAUCGUAGAUCAGCAUGCUACGGUGAAUACGUUCCCGGGUCUUGUACACACCGCCCGUCACACCACGAGAGUUUGUAACACCCGAAGCCGGUGGAGUAACCAUUUAUGGAGCUAGCCGUCGAAG